RNAcentral lists this unclassified non-coding RNA (376 nucleotides) under soil metagenome. RNAcentral's name for it is "partial contains 5.8S ribosomal RNA, internal transcribed spacer 2, and large subunit ribosomal RNA". The stretch from base 1 to 120 matches the Rfam family "5.8S ribosomal RNA", at positions 35 to 154 of the family's 154-position model. The record is from RNAcentral.
GAUGAAGAACGUAGCGAAAUGCGAUAAGUAAUGUGAAUUGCAGAAUUCAGUGAAUCAUCGAAUCUUUGAACGCAUCUUGCGCUCCUUGGUAUUCUGAGGAGCAUGCCUGUUUGAGUGUCAUUAAAUUCUCAACUACACUGACUUUGAAUUGGUGUGGCUUGGAUUUGGGGGGAAAAUUGUUGUGGGCUUUUUGUAUAGUCUGCUCCCCUGAAAUUGAUUAGCGGUACCUUUGUGGAACUGUCUACAGGUGUGAUAAUUAUCUACAUCUUAGACAUCUGCUGGAAUGCUGCUCUCUAAACCUUACUUGUAUUGACAAUCUUGACCUCAAAUCAGGUAGGACUACCCGCUGAUCUUAAGCAUAUCAAUAAGCGGAGGA